GACAGAGGAGCCAAGCGUUGUCCGGAUUGACUGGGCGUAAAGCGCACGCAGGCGGUCGUGCACGUGGGGUGUGAAAACUGGCGGCUUAACUGCCAGAGGCCACCUCAUACGGCGCGACUCGAGCCCUGCAGAGGUCCAUGGAAUUGCCGGUGUAGUGGUGAAAUGCGUAGAUAUGUGGAGGAACACCAGUGGCGAAGGCGGUUUUCUAGCUUAUUCCUGACGCUGAGGCGCGAAAGCAAGGGGAUCAAACAGG
Molecule: ribosomal RNA, 253 nt
Filed under: uncultured bacterium
Lineage: Bacteria
Description: partial 16S ribosomal RNA
Rfam family: Bacterial small subunit ribosomal RNA
Source: RNAcentral